GGGGGCGACUGGUUUCGACGGGGCAGUCGAAAUUCCAGUGGCGCGCCGAGGACUCCUGUUGGCCUCGUAAAAAAACAGGAAAAAACCUAAAUGCGAACGAUAACUUCGCUCUCGCUGCCUAAUUAAUUAGGCACGACGCGGAACCGCCGAUGUCUGCUGAGCGGGGAAGCGACGACUAGCAGAUCCUGCCGGGGGCCGAGCAGCCGGGCGCCCGUGUCUUGACGAAUCGUGGUUACUGGUCUUCAGGUGAGCCUGUCUGCCGGCAUUCCUGUUGACGAGACUUAAAGACAGAACACGCGCGUAGAAACUGGGAGGACACUGUUUCGGACGGGAGUUCGAUUCUCCCCGCCUCCAC
Molecule: transfer-messenger RNA, 355 nt
Filed under: Kiritimatiellia bacterium
Lineage: Bacteria; Pseudomonadati; Kiritimatiellota; Kiritimatiellia
Description: Kiritimatiellae bacterium (wastewater metagenome) transfer-messenger RNA
Rfam family: transfer-messenger RNA
About the family: Bacterial tmRNA, also known as 10Sa RNA or SsrA, is named for its dual tRNA and mRNA-like properties.
Source: RNAcentral